This 266-nucleotide signal recognition particle RNA is filed under the name Oscillospiraceae bacterium. RNAcentral describes it as "signal recognition particle sRNA large type". It matches the Rfam family "Bacterial large signal recognition particle RNA". From Rfam's summary of the family: The signal recognition particle (SRP) is a universally conserved ribonucleoprotein involved in the co-translational targeting of proteins to membranes. The record is from RNAcentral. Lineage: Bacteria; Bacillati; Bacillota; Clostridia; Eubacteriales; Oscillospiraceae.
UCGCACUAGUCGGGGAGAUAGCGGUGCCCUGUACCUGCAAUCCGCUACAGCAGGGAUGAAUUCCCACACCCGGUUGAGUUUGAAUAUUGUCUGACCCGUGCAAGGGGUGUUGAGAAGUUGGUCUUGCGCAACGGGAUCCCGUGAACCAGGUCAGGUGGGGAACCAAGCAGCCUUAAGCGGAUCUUCCCGUGUGCCGCGAGGUUGCCGAUUUUGAGCUUUCGCGCUUGGGUUACGGAUAUUCUGCUCGAACAAAUGUGGGUGUGCGA